UAGUGCUGUAUUAGCGGCAUGUAGCUGGAGUGGGUGACCUUGCGAUGAGUACUUCUGCGAUGGUGCUGUUUUUUAUUCGGCGGAUUCCACUUCUCUUGGCGGCCGGCUGCCCUCUCCCCUUGCUACUAGUUGUUGUUUGGAGUUGCUAGACGGUGGAGUGGGUCCUCUUGUUCAGCUCGGAGUUCUCCUGUGAAUCUCGUGGCAGCGGGAUCCGACGGUGAUGGGUGCGGACUCAUUCGCUGGCGGCCGAGUUUGGUGUGCGGCACUCAGCUAGAUUGGUGUUGUGCUGGAGUCGCAUUCGGUGACGCACCAGCUCCACUUGUUUUUCCUUGGUUCUUAUCGUGUCGUGCUCCUGUCGACGGUUGGUGUGCGGUAAAGUUGACAGUCCUGGGAUUUUUUCUUGUUCAUCGAGGCACUGUGAUUGAAGAGACAGUGCUGCACUGCGGCGCAAUUCCCUAGUCGCGGCUAGAUCUGUUGGUCAUCUUCAACCUUGAUUUCAUUGUGGUCCACGGUGUUGUCAACACCUUACUGCAAUUCAGUGCUCACAGUGAUUUCUAGUUGGCAAUUCUUUGAAGUUCCGUGAUCUCUUGCGGUUGCCAGUAGAUGAGCUGCUGGAUCGGUGCGAGGUGUGCUUGGACCUGGAUCCUCUUCCUUCUUCUGGCGUCGUGCAAGGAUUUGAAGUAGUAGUGGCUUAAUGUGGAGAAUCACAAGUGAUCACAAACUAACUAUCAACUUUGCAUCCCAUGAAUCCACAUUGGUGAAUAGGUGUUGUUACAGUUCUACACUGGCUAUCUUAGCAUUCAGCUUACUGUGCACCCUUCCACCUGUGAAAUUCCAACAUACAUAGACUUAGUCAGGGUUGAGAUUAAGUGUUAGACAACCAUUUUGCUAGGAUGGAUUUGUGGCAAGAAUUAUCCUGAUUUAAGAUUUUGACCUAAUGGAUGAAGCUAGAUUAGUGAUGGAUGAAAAUGAGACUUAGAUGGAAAUUGAGUGGAUGAAUUCUUAUUCAAGGAUGAAAACUCAUUCAUGGAUGGAAAAUUGUAAUUGAACGACAAUUGAUUAA
Physcomitrium patens is the source of this 1063-nucleotide non-coding RNA. The record is from RefSeq and is a predicted model, not a curated record. Lineage: Eukaryota; Viridiplantae; Streptophyta; Bryopsida; Funariales; Funariaceae.